UACAGGGCUUUUGAACAGAAUGGAACCUAUUGCAAGCACCAUCGUUUGGUAGACCUUCCGGCAAAGGAGAAGAUCAAACAGCCAAGGGUUUGUUAAGAAUGUUGUAACUAUCUUGAGCAACGUACUCUCUAAGCUGAAAAAACCUGGCCUGAGAAAAAAGAUAGGAGUAGUAGUAGUUAAUAUGGUAUGCGGAUGAGCAGAAUGUAGUUUACAUAAUCAUUCUUUUAUUUUUUUCAAUGCUAGUAAAUUUACCUUAUUGAAUCAUCAAUGUUUCCCAACUAUUUAUUGUUGAAUUCCCAAAUUUGGAGCAAGAAGCAUACUGUACAUAUUUCUGAUGAUUAUGAUCAACAAUUCACUUAAUACAUUUCAUACAGCAGAUGGAAAUUCAUUGUGGAAUGAAAAAGUAAUUUUUUCCUUUGAUAAGUAUCUGUUCUCUUUCAUUUUUCCCUUCAACCCAACCCGUGUUCAUGAAUGUCAUAGAACAGGUAAAAAGAAUUCUGCAAACUUGCCAAGUUCGCUUAAAUAGAUAAAAGAAACAUGACAAAUUACCGAGUGUUAUAACUAGUGUGUUGCGUCAAAAAAUGAAAGUGAAAUAUGUUCGACUUGAAGAAGAAACCAGCUAACAUCAUGAUAACAUAUCCCACUUAUUAUUUCACCACAUAGGUACUCACACUCCCAUAGGGAAUACAUACUCGUUAAUGACUCAAUUUAAUACAUAGCUUCACCUAAUAUUGAACCUUUUAGUUUUGUUCUUGGAUUCAAUUGCUUCCAAAGUGUAAUGUCACACUCCCAUAUGGAAUACAUACUCGUUGAUCGACUCAAUUUAAUAUAGCCUAAUAUUGAACUUUUUAGAGUUAUUCACCUAAUAUUGAUCCUCUUAGUCUUGUUCUUGGAUUCAAUUGCAACAAAUGUGUAAUGAGCUGUAAAGUGAUCCUGAAAUCAGUUCAUAGGACUGAGUACACCUUAUAGUUAACAUUUGGAAGUACUAAGGUAAUCUUAUGCUUUAUAGCAACUGUGUAUUUUACAAUUCAGGCAGUGAAGCAAUGUAUGACUAUAGAAAAAAGAAGAGAGAAAGAUACUCGAGGUUUACCUCAUUAAGCCUUUUCUGGAUCUUACAAAGUUCACAAAACUGCUAACACCAAAAUUAACCAUCUUCCUCCAAAAGCAAAUUCGUGAAUUUGAAGUUACUUCCACAGCCGGCAAGGGAUUGAAUUCUCAUUAGGAAGUUAUGAGUGUAUCACUUGAGCUAGCUUGGUACCAUUAACAUCAAUCUUACCACAUUUGUAAAACAUCCAGUUAGUUAAGCCCCAUGUAAUUAAAAGGAAUGGAAAUCGUCAUAUAGAAAUGAGCAUGAAUCUUUAACUAUUCGUAAAUAGAACUUUAUCCACUAAACUAAAGAUGGGUUAUAUGAUGAAUGCAUAGACUUGUUGCAACUUAACAUGUGACUCUCAAAUUACUGACUUAUAAAGGGAAGAAGUGGAAACAUCUUCCCACAUCAUUUUAGUGUUAAAUUAAGCAAAAGGUCUCAAUUGGUUUAGCAUCAAACUACAGCAAAUCUACUCAUUCAUUCCGAAGUUAACUUACUCAUCUAUUGGGAUCUAGAGAAAAUAAAGAUGACAAAUAGUAUCAUGUUUACAUAAUAAUUAAAACGAAAGGAAACAAUGAAGAAUUUGGAGCAAGGAACGUUGAUUUAGGAAGAAAAACAAACUAGAGUUUUGAGAUAAAGAUACUUUGACAUUGUUUACAAAAAAUGCAAGUCAAGAGCCUCAUAUAUCUGCUGCUGAUUUACUAUGAAUUCACCAUCUAUUCUUAUCCAUUGGGUAGUUCAUGCCGUUGGCAUUCUACCUCCUGCUUCUCCAUUCACUAAUGAAGUUGUUAUCAUAACUGUUCCACGAUUUUCGAACCUGUUCAAGCAUUAGUCAACUCUUUGUGCCAAAUGAGAGAUGUUUAUAUCACGGGAGAAGUUAAAGAUCAGUGUUCCUUUAUUAAAUUGAUACUUCAAGAGACUGUAUUCCCCUUAUUCUCCCUCUUAUUUUGGUUGAAAAGUAAUGAACCUCAUAUAUUAAUGGUAUAGUUGUUACCAUCUUCAGUUUAUUGAAUAAGUGCUACUCUCAAACUGUUCACCGGAAUUACCUUGGGGGCUAUGUUGCUCGAACUCUUUAAAAAUGGCAACGGGUACAUGUCGAAUUCUCCAAAAGUAGUGUAUCUUUGAAGAAUCCGACACGAGUGUGACUUCUUUUUUUGGAGGGUCCAAGCAACAUAACUGGAGACCAUGAACUUAAGCAAGUGAAAUAUAACAAUCAAAAUCACUGCAACAACACAACAACAACAUAUCCAGUGACAUCCCAAAAUUGGGGUAUGGGGAAUGUAGAGUGUACACAAACCUUACCGAUAACUUGUGGAGACACUUGGCUUAAGUACAACAAAUCCAAGUACAAGAAAGAAGAAAACUGUGGUAAAAACAUAGCAACUAACAAGGGGCACUGCAAAUCCCCAAAAAAGGACCAAAAACAACAAAAUAUCGUGAUGAUGGAAUCACAAUAAACAACUAUGAUGAUAGAUAUCGCAAUCAAGAACUACAAUAACACCGCUAGUACAAUGACAAAACGCCAACAAGCCUAGACUCUCGGAAACCAAGACACCACUCUACUAUCUAUUAACUUUCUACUCUAGGGAGCUUUCUCCACACUUUCCUAUCAAAGGUCAUCGCGCGUUCUCCACACUUUCCUAACUAAGGUCAUGUCCUCGGUAACAUGAAAUUGAGUCAUGUCCGGUCUAAUCAAACUCUCUCCAACACUUCUUCAGUCUCCUACCUCUCUUCAUACCUAUUAUAACCAACAGGAGUCUGUGCAUCACAUCUUCACAUGCCCAAACCAUCUAAAUCAGUAUUACUCAGGUCACCUAAAUGAAUCCUUUAUAUCAAUUCAGAUCCAUAAGAAAAAUAAAAAAUAAAGGUUCAACAAGUUCAUCCUCUACUCCCAAUACAUUAACUGCUAAUUCAUAUGCAAUAACUCAUGCUACAAAAUAGAUAAAUAAACACAUGAAUCAUGGAUUUCUAAUCUAAAACAGAGUCCAUUCGUCAAAUUCAAGAGAGCAGAUGCAGAGGCUUACCCAUUUCCGAAGAGCUUCGUGGCUAAUGCAAAUGAUACAUGAGAAUCAAUCACAUCAGUAUAGAGCACGGAAACAUAUACAGUAACACAGAUGGGAAAAGAGGUCAGGUCAGACUUCAGAGUCACACCAAUUGGAGAAAUAGAUACAAAUCAAAGCGCAGAUAUUCGAAAAAUACAUAUUACGAGUUUGUGCGUGAAUCUAGCAAACAACAACAGUUUUUCUGAUGAAAAGGGUUGUUAGAUUCACGCACAAACGUGAAAUAUGCCUCUUCCUGAUUUUCCAUUUCUGGUCUGCCGAACUUCAGAUAGGAUAAGAAGUUUAGAGAAAAAGGGCCGAUGGAAGCCGGUGUUCGGCAGUCGGCGGCUGGGUUAGUACGGCGGAUACCUAAUGAAGAUGAGUUUGGGGAUGGGAGUCUUCAU
Molecule: long non-coding RNA, 3530 nt
Filed under: Solanum tuberosum (potato)
Lineage: Eukaryota; Viridiplantae; Streptophyta; Magnoliopsida; Solanales; Solanaceae
Description: long non-coding RNA (STUB_LNC002019)
Source: RNAcentral